This 250-nucleotide ribosomal RNA is filed under the name uncultured archaeon. RNAcentral describes it as "partial 16S ribosomal RNA". It matches the Rfam family "Archaeal small subunit ribosomal RNA", at positions 474 to 723 of the family's 1478-position model. The record is from RNAcentral.
UACCGGCGGCUCGAGUGGUGGCCACUAUUAUUGGGCUUAAAGCGUUCGUAGCUGGGUUAUUAAGUCUCUUGGGAAAUCUACCGGCUUAACCGAUAGGCGUCCAAGGGAUACUGGUAAUCUAGGGACCGGGAGAGGUGAGGGGUACUUCAAGGGUAGGAGUGAAAUCCUGUAAUCCUUGGGGGACCACCUGUGGCGAAGGCGCCUCACCAGAACGGCUCCGACAGUGAGGGACGAAAGCUGGGGGAGCAAA